GUUUAUCUUAGUCCACUGAAAAGGAAGUUUUGUGUUAUUAUCUGUUUGUUUCUUCUUUGUAAGAAUCUCUUUGGUCUACAUCUUAUACUCUAACUAUUUUGAAGAUGAUUAUACACUGUAUAUUAACUAUUGUUAUGUUCUUGUAUUUUGUUAUGAAUUUUCUUUUUUUUUCAUAAAAUAAAAAAAAAAGAACGAUAGGACUUGGACAUAAGCAGAUGGGGAUAAUCCAUAUACCAAGCACGCAUGAAGGAUCUGACAAAGGCCCACCUUAUGCCAAAUGGCCAAACAGGAAAGAACUUCAAGAAUGAAGGUAACCUGAUCCUAAGCACAAGGUUAAGCUACUAUAUUAAAGAAUCGUGUAGAAAACUGCCACAGGCAAGGAAGGAAUAGGGAAUUAUGGAAGAAACAGUUAGCCAGCCCUGAGAACCACUUUCUCUCCCUGAUGAAAAAGGUCAUCG
Molecule: long non-coding RNA, 458 nt
Filed under: Chinchilla lanigera (long-tailed chinchilla)
Lineage: Eukaryota; Metazoa; Chordata; Mammalia; Rodentia; Chinchillidae
Description: lncRNA (ENSCLAG00000027927.1)
Source: RNAcentral